This is a long non-coding RNA of Oryctolagus cuniculus (rabbit), 1937 nucleotides long. NCBI's taxonomy places the organism in Eukaryota, Metazoa, Chordata, Mammalia, Lagomorpha, Leporidae. The record is from Ensembl.
AAUGCCUAGAAUAUUUAGAAUUCUCUGUAAAUGUAUCAAGCCAUCUGCUAUAGAUCAAAAAAAGAGAUCACGUGGAUUGAUUUGUUUUUUCAAAUAUUUUCAGGUUAGAAUUCCACAUUCCUGGAGAGAAGAGAGGAUGAGUUGAGAUUCUCACUGAACUUAACAGUAAGAAUCUUUUACACUGAUGGAUUGAUCUUGGUUCUGUAUGCAUUGGCACUGGCACGGAACGGGAGAGGGGACAUGGGGUAGCAAUGCUGUUAAGUAGACACCUGGAGGUAUAGGCUUUUUUUUUUUUUUUUAAUUCAAACGGCUGCUUUGCUCAGCCCUGCUAACAGGAUUGCUCUGUGCAGUCCUCUGUGCACAGCUGCCCUCUCCUGGAGGGAAUGACAAUGUGCCCAAAGCAAUCUGAACUGAAAUUAACCUACCCACCGGUUCAUUAAGCUCUCACCAAAUAUUUAUGUCUAUCUCAGGUACCUGUUGAGCUUUAGGGAUACAGAGAUCUGGAAAAAAAAAAAAAUUGCCUGCCCUCAAAUAGCUCACAGAAAAUGGGGAGAAAACAAGAAAAUCAGUAGUUGUAUUCUAGUGCUACAUACCGGAAUAGGGGUGAGCAUAGAUAGUACUAAAUUGCAGAGAAAAUAUUUUUAUAGUCCACUUUUUAAAAAAGAGUUAUUUAUUUAUUUAUUUGAAAGUCAGAGUUACACAGAGAGAGAAGGAGAGGCAGAGAAAGAGAGAGGUCUCCCAUCCGCUGGUUCACUCCCCAAUUGGCCCCAAUGGCUGGAGCUGCGCCAAUCCACCGCCAGGAGCCAGGAGCUUCUUCCAGGCCUCCCACAUGGGUGCCGGGGCCCAAGGACCUGGGCCAUCUUCUACUACCAUCCCAGGCCAUAGCAGAGAGUUGGAUUGGAAGAGGAGCAGCUGGGACUAGAACCUGUGCCCAAAUGGGAUGCUGGCACCUCAGGCCAGACCUUUACCCACUAGGCCACAGCGCAGACCCUUUAUAGUCUACUUUGACUUACUAAUUGGUCUGACUCCUCUUUGAGACCUCACCUGACAAAAAUACCAAGGAACUCAGUAUCUGCUCUGCAUAUAAGCUACAGACAAGCAGAUAAACAAUGCACAAGCUUACUUUAAAAAUUAUUUGUUGUAUUCAUUAAUUUGUUUAUUGCUAAUUCUAGCAGCCCUAUUUGUAGCUCCUAACUUUGAACUGUCCAGGACCUGCAGGUCAACUUAGGAAUUGCCAUUUAUAUGGAUUUAAAUCAAUCAUAUUUGUUGAGCAGCAUUUUUUACUUUUAUUUAUUUCAGAAGCAGGGAGACAGAGAGCUCCCAUCUUCUGGUUCACUCCCCAAAUGCCUGAAACAGUGGGGUGGGCCUGGAGUUGAAGCUGGUUUCCCACGUGGGUGGCAGGGACCUAUGCAUUGAACCAUCAAUACUGCUUCUCAGGGGCUUCACCAGCAGGAAGCCGGAAUCAGGAGCAAAGCUGGGACCUGAACCCAGGCACCCAGUAUGAGGGGUAAGCAUCCCAAGGGCCAUUUUAACUGCUAUACUACAAGCCCAGCCCUGAAAAUUCUAUUUUGAAGUGCCAUAUUUAAAAUUAGGAUACAGGGGUUGGCACUGUGGUGUAGCAGGUAAAGCCGCCGCCAGCAGGGCCCGCAUCCUAUAUGGGCAUCAGUUCCAUCUCAGCUGCUCCACUUCCGAUCCAGCUCCCUGCUAUGGCCUGGGAGAGCAGUAGAAGAUGGCCCAAGUCCUUGGGCCCUUGCACCCAUGUGGGAGACCCGGAGGAGGCUCCUAGCUCCUUCCUGCCAUUGUGGUCAUCUAGGGAGUGAACAAACAGAUGGAAGACCUCUCUCUCUCUCUCUCUCUCUCUCUCUCUCUGCCUCUGCCUCUCUGUAACUUUGCCUUUCAAAUAAGUUAAAUAAAUCUUUAAAAAUAUUAUGGGGCCA